GGAUGUCGGUGUAUACGUCGGGGAGGGGGCCGCGGUUAGAAUUGCAGGCAGAUGGGUCUAACCGCGGCCCCCUCCCCGACGUAUACACCGACAUCC
This 96-nucleotide microRNA precursor is filed under the name Ixodes scapularis (black-legged tick). RNAcentral describes it as "microRNA MIR1846". The record is from RNAcentral. Lineage: Eukaryota; Metazoa; Arthropoda; Arachnida; Ixodida; Ixodidae.